UGUGCAAUUGCUGCUAUGUGCAAUUGCUAUUAAGUCCAUCCAAUCCUUCUUUAUAUUAUAAAAUGCUAAAAAAUCCUGGUUCUUUACCAGUGUAUCUUAGGACACACAAAUUGGUCAAUGGUGGUUUUAGGAAAAGACUCGACUGCAUGCCCAUUCUUACCAGUCACUAAGGUGAUUAAAGGCCUUUUAGUCUCAAGGGUUUACAGUCAGAACACAACACAUAUGGAUGGAGCCAUGAAAAAUGACAAUGAAUACUAUAUACACUGGAGGCAGUGCCACACAUCAAGAACCAUACUGGAUCCCCCUCACACCAGUUGCAGGCACAAGUCCCUCAAUACUUGCACAUCAGAAACAAAACAUAGAUGGACAUGCAAAAGAUACCAAAUCCCUUGAAACUAACCAAGUGAUCACUGCAUCAAAAACUAUAUAUAAAAAGCCAGGUUAAUCCACAACUGGGUCAGUCCCCCCCACAAUAUGUCAGCAAU
Molecule: long non-coding RNA, 485 nt
Organism: Scylla paramamosain (green mud crab)
Lineage: Eukaryota; Metazoa; Arthropoda; Malacostraca; Decapoda; Portunidae
Exons: 2
Source: RefSeq, a predicted model, not a curated record